This 392-nucleotide ribosomal RNA is filed under the name uncultured bacterium. RNAcentral's name for it is "partial 16S ribosomal RNA". It matches the Rfam family "Bacterial small subunit ribosomal RNA", at positions 523 to 917 of the family's 1533-position model. The record is from RNAcentral.
AUACGGAGGAUCCGAGCGUUAUCCGGAUUUAUUGGGUUUAAAGGGUGCGCAGGCGGGAGAUUAAGUCGGCGGUGAAAUUUUGCAGCUCAACUGUAAAAGUGCCUUCGAAACUGGUUUCCUUGAGUGUAGAUGAAGUAGGCGGAAUUUGUGGUGUAGCGGUGAAAUGCAUAGAUAUCACGAGGAACUCCGAUUGCGCAGGCAGCUUACUAAACUACUACUGACGCUCAGGCACGAAGGCGUGGGGAUCAAACAGGAUUAGAUACCCUGGUAGUCCACGCAGUAAACGAUGAUUACUAGCUGUUUGCGAUACAAUGUAAGCGGCUGAGCGAAAGCGUUAAGUAAUCCACCUGGGGAGUACGUUCGCAGGAAUGAAACUCAAAUGAAUUGACGGG